Molecule: ribosomal RNA, 483 nt
Filed under: uncultured bacterium
Lineage: Bacteria
Description: bacterial SSU rRNA
Rfam family: Bacterial small subunit ribosomal RNA
Source: RNAcentral
GACGAACGCUGGCGGCGUGCUUAACACAUGCAAGUCAAGGGGGCCCGCAAGGGUAACCGGCGAACGGGUGCGUAACACGUGAGCAAUCUGCCUCGAUGUGGGGGAUAGCCGGCCCAACGGCCGGGUAAUACCGCAUACGCUCUCUGGGUGGCAUCACUUGGAGAGGAAACAUUUUUGGCAUUGAGAGGAGCUCGCGGCCUAUCAGCUAGUUGGUGGGGUAAUGGCCUACCAAGGCUUUGACGGGUAGCUGGUCUGGGAGGAUGGCCAGCCACAUUGGGACUGAGAUACGGCCCAGACUCCUACGGGAGGCAGCAGUGGGGAAUAUUGCGCAAUGGCCGAAAGGCUGACGCAGCGACGCCGCGUGGGGGAUGAAGCAUUUCGGUGUGUAAACCCCUGUUGCCCGGGACGAACAACUGGUUUUGACCAGUCUGACGGUACCGGGUGAGGAAGCACCGGCUAACUCCGUGCCAGCAGCCGCGGUAA